RNAcentral lists this ribosomal RNA (253 nucleotides) under uncultured bacterium. RNAcentral describes it as "partial 16S ribosomal RNA". It matches the Rfam family "Bacterial small subunit ribosomal RNA", at positions 524 to 776 of the family's 1533-position model. The record is from RNAcentral.
UACGUAGGGCGCAAGCGUUGUCCGGAAUUAUUGGGCGUAAAGGGCUCGUAGGCGGUUUGUCGCGUCUGCCGUGAAAGUCCGGGGCUCAACUCCGGAUCUGCGGUGGGUACGGGCAGACUAGAGUGAUGUAGGGGAGACUGGAAUUCCUGGUGUAGCGGUGAAAUGCGCAGAUAUCAGGAGGAACACCGGUGGCGAAGGCGGCGUUCUGGACUGCAACUGACACUGAGGAACGAAAGCCAGGGGAGCAAACGGG